Molecule: ribosomal RNA, 251 nt
Filed under: uncultured prokaryote
Description: partial 16S rRNA
Rfam family: Bacterial small subunit ribosomal RNA
Source: RNAcentral
ACGGAGGGUGCAAGCGUUAUUCGGAAUUACUGGGCGUAAAGCGCACGUAGGCGGUCCUGUAAGUCAGAUGUGAAAUCCCCGGGCUCAACCUGGGAACUGCAUCUGAAACUGGCAAGCUUGAGUAUCGUAGAGGGGGGUAGAAUUCCAGGUGUAGCGGUGAAAUGCGUAGAGAUCUGGAGGAAUACCAGUGGCGAAGGCGGCCACCUGGACGAAGACUGACGCUCAGGUGCGAAAGCGUGGGGAGCAAACAG